RNAcentral lists this long non-coding RNA (482 nucleotides) under Pan troglodytes (chimpanzee). RNAcentral's name for it is "lincRNA". The record is from RNAcentral. Lineage: Eukaryota; Metazoa; Chordata; Mammalia; Primates; Hominidae.
ACUUUUACUCAUGGUGGAAGGCAAAGUAGGAGCAGCUCCUCCAUUAACCCCUGCAGAGUAUUCACUGACUGCUGAAACUAGAGCAUCACUGAGAAGCAAGAGAUAGACUGACCUAACUAGAGGGAGAGCUGCCGUCCAGGAUGAUGCCACCAUGACAGGAGGUGAGAAGGAACACAGCAUCUUCUGCAAAUGCUACAGUAAAUAGGGACGGGGUGCAGCAAUGUGAGGAAAGUGGAAUGAACUUGGACUUUGAAGGCAAACUAACCUGGAAUCAAAUACUGGCUCUGCUGUUUGCAAGUGUGAUCUUUGGGUGUGCUUCCUAAUCUGUGAGCUUCAACUUCCUUCUCUGUAAACCAAGAUCAAAGACAAACAGGGAAACCUACUUGUCUGGUGCCCAUCCCCUUGGCAGAACACUCCUCUGAAGGAUGACAGUUUGGCUGUGCCAGGGCAGAGCUGCCCACACCAAAUAAGCCUUCAUAGCA